RNAcentral lists this ribosomal RNA (253 nucleotides) under uncultured bacterium. RNAcentral describes it as "partial 16S ribosomal RNA". It matches the Rfam family "Bacterial small subunit ribosomal RNA", at positions 524 to 776 of the family's 1533-position model. The record is from RNAcentral.
UACGAAGGUCCCAAGCGUUAUCCGGAUUUAUUGGGCUUAAAGGGUGCGUAGGCGGACUAUUAAGUCAGUGGUGAAAGCCCCAAGCUUAACUUGGGAACUGCCAUUGAUACUGAUGGUCUUGAGUACAGUUGAGGUGGGCGGAAUGUGUCAUGUAGCGGUGAAAUGCUUAGAUAUGACACAGAACACCGAUUGCGAAGGCAGCUCACUAAACUGUAACUGACGCUGAGGCACGAAAGCGUGGGGAGCAAACAGG